RNAcentral lists this ribosomal RNA (429 nucleotides) under Gemmatimonadota bacterium. RNAcentral's name for it is "Gemmatimonadetes bacterium partial 16S ribosomal RNA". It matches the Rfam family "Bacterial small subunit ribosomal RNA", at positions 355 to 776 of the family's 1533-position model. Lineage: Bacteria; Pseudomonadati; Gemmatimonadota. The record is from RNAcentral.
GAGGGAAUCUUCGGCAAUGGACGAAAGUCUGACCGAGCAACGCCGCGUGAGUGAAGAAGGAUUUCGGAUCGUAAAACUCUGUUGUUAGAGAAGAACAAGGACGUUAGUAACUGAACGUCCCCUGACGGUAUCUAACCAGAAAGCCACGGCUAACUACGUGCCAGCAGCCGCGGUAAUACGUAGGUGGCAAGCGUUGUCCGGAUUUAUUGGGCGUAAAGCGAGCGCAGGCGGUUUCUUAAGUCUGAUGUGAAAGCCCCCGGCUCAACCGGGGAGGGUCAUUGGAAACUGGGAGACUUGAAUGCAGAAGAGGAGAGUGGAAUUCCAUGUGUAGCGGUGAAAUGCGUAGAUAGAUGGAGGAACACCAGUGGCGAAGGCGGCUCUCUGGUCUGUAACUGACGCUGAGGCUCGAAAGCGUGGGGAGCAAACAGG